Molecule: ribosomal RNA, 495 nt
Filed under: uncultured bacterium
Lineage: Bacteria
Description: partial 16S ribosomal RNA
Rfam family: Bacterial small subunit ribosomal RNA
Source: RNAcentral
GACGAACGCUGGCGGCGUGCCUAAUACAUGCAAGUAGAACGCUGAAGGAGGAGCUUGCUUCUCUGGAUGAGUUGCGAACGGGUGAGUAACGCGUAGGUAACCUGCCUGGUAGCGGGGGAUAACUAUUGGAAACGAUAGCUAAUACCGCAUAAUAGUAGAUGUUGCAUGACAUUUGCUUAAAAGGUGCAAUUGCAUCACUACCAGAUGGACCUGCGUUGUAUUAGCUAGUUGGUGAGGUAACGGCUCACCAAGGCGACGAUUCAUAGCCGACCUGAGAGGGUGAUCGGCCACACUGGGACUGAGACACGGCCCAGACUCCUACGGGAGGCAGCAGUAGGGAAUCUUCGGCAAUGGACGGAAGUCUGACCGAGCAACGCCGCGUGAGUGAAGAAGGUUUUCGGAUCGUAAAGCUCUGUUGUAAGAGAAGAACGAGUGUGAGAGUGGAAAGUUCACACUGUGACGGUAUCUUACCAGAAAGGGACGGCUAACUACGUG